This 257-nucleotide ribosomal RNA is filed under the name uncultured Glomeromycotina. RNAcentral's name for it is "partial 18S ribosomal RNA". It matches the Rfam family "Eukaryotic small subunit ribosomal RNA", at positions 624 to 886 of the family's 1831-position model. The record is from RNAcentral. Lineage: Eukaryota; Fungi; Glomeromycota.
AAGCUCGUAGUUGAAUUUCGGGACCAAUUUGUUGGUCGUGCCUCGGUAUGUACUGGUAUUAUUGGUUUCUCCCUUCUGAAGAACCUCGAUGUCAUUAAUUUGGUGUCGUGGGGAAUCAGGACUGUUACUUUGAAAAAAUUAGAGUGUUUAAAGCAGGCAUACGCUUGAAUACAUUAGCAUGGAAUAAUGAAAUAGGACGUUUGAUUCUAUUUUGUUGGUUUCUAGGAUCGACGUAAUGAUUAAUAGGGAUAGUUGGG